RNAcentral lists this ribosomal RNA (435 nucleotides) under uncultured bacterium. RNAcentral's name for it is "partial 16S ribosomal RNA". It matches the Rfam family "Bacterial small subunit ribosomal RNA", at positions 29 to 507 of the family's 1533-position model. The record is from RNAcentral.
AGCGAACGCUGGCGGCAGGCUUAACACAUGCAAGUCGAGCGGGCAUCUUCGGAUGUCAGCGGCAGACGGGUGAGUAACCCGUGGGAACGUACCCUUCGGUUCGGAACAACUCUGGGAAACUGGAGCUAAUACCGGAUACGCCCUUAUGGGGAAAGGUUUACUGCCGAAGGAUCGGACCGCGUCUGAUUAGCUAGGUGGUGGGGUUACGGCCUUCCAAGGCGAGGAUCAGUAGCUGGUCUGAGAGGAUGAUCAGCCACACUGGGACUGAGACACGGACCUGUCUCCGACGGUAGGCAGCAGGAGAGAAUAAGGCACAAGGGGGGCAGGUCUGAGCCAGCCACGUCGCGUGUGUGAUGAAGGCCUUAGGGUUGUAAAUCUCUUUUGUCCGGGACGAUAAUGACGGUACCGGAAGAAUAAGCCCCGGCUAACUUCGUG